This is a long non-coding RNA of Dalotia coriaria, 832 nucleotides long. RefSeq lists it as uncharacterized. The transcript has 2 exons. Lineage: Eukaryota; Metazoa; Arthropoda; Insecta; Coleoptera; Staphylinidae. The record is from RefSeq and is a predicted model, not a curated record.
GAAAUCCACAGCUGAUGAUCACUUUUGCAUUGAACUGCAUCAAAUACAGCAUGAAUCUCCUUUUAAUAUCAUUCUUGUCAAUUCAAGCAUUAUUUGCUCGCGCACAUUUGGGAGUGUUUCGUGAUAUACAGAAAGAAAUUUACGAAGCACAAGACGUUUGCUACAAAGGGCGUCAUAGAAACGUGCCUUGUGACCAAGAUGAGUGCGUUAUGAAGAAAAUAUACCUAUUGGAUAACACUGGAAUGAACGUCAAUAUGUCAAGGAUGCACGCAUCAUACCGUUCUGUUGCUACCGAAUGCAUCAAGGAAGCACAAUCGUCUUCCACAUGUGAAUUUUCGGGCAAAUUUAUUCAGUGCUUUGUGAAGCGUAACUCUGAUUCUAUAUCGAAACACUACGAUUCAUGCCAAAUGAAAUACCCGAUAGAUCGUAGUGGCGAGGUCCCGCUUGAUAUGUCAGAGGAAUCCUUUAAAAAAUUAACCAAUUAUGCAUGUCUCAUUGAGUGCAACUAUGAUACACAAAAACUAUUUACAGAAAACGACGAUUUUAAUAUAGAUUUGUUGAGGCUUCAUUCGAAUCUACCGAUUGAUGUGGUAAAGGAGGCCGAAAAUUGUUGGAAACAACAUCAGCAGGAAGACAAAUGUCAAAGGAGAGCCAACAGGAUUUCGUGUUUAUCUGGAAAGUAUCAUGGUGCAAAUAAAAAUCCAGAUUUGAUACCGUUUGAGACUUUGGUUAAUGAAAUUUACGAGUAAAGUGAUAAUAAUUUUUAAAAGAUUGUCAUGUAUCCGCAAUGAAUAACAACAUUCAAAGAAUAAAUUGAAAUAUCAAGUAUCAA